RNAcentral lists this ribosomal RNA (1570 nucleotides) under Escherichia coli. RNAcentral's name for it is "partial 23S ribosomal RNA". It matches the Rfam family "Bacterial large subunit ribosomal RNA", at positions 612 to 2167 of the family's 2925-position model. The record is from RNAcentral. Lineage: Bacteria; Pseudomonadati; Pseudomonadota; Gammaproteobacteria; Enterobacterales; Enterobacteriaceae.
AUAAUGGGUCAGCGACUUAUAUUCUGUAGCAAGGUUAACCGAAUAGGGGAGCCGAAGGGAAACCGAGUCUUAACUGGGCGUUAAGUUGCAGGGUAUAGACCCGAAACCCGGUGAUCUAGCCAUGGGCAGGUUGAAGGUUGGGUAACACUAACUGGAGGACCGAACCGACUAAUGUUGAAAAAUUAGCGGAUGACUUGUGGCUGGGGGUGAAAGGCCAAUCAAACCGGGAGAUAGCUGGUUCUCCCCGAAAGCUAUUUAGGUAGCGCCUCGUGAAUUCAUCUCCGGGGGUAGAGCACUGUUUCGGCAAGGGGGUCAUCCCGACUUACCAACCCGAUGCAAACUGCGAAUACCGGAGAAUGUUAUCACGGGAGACACACGGCGGGUGCUAACGUCCGUCGUGAAGAGGGAAACAACCCAGACCGCCAGCUAAGGUCCCAAAGUCAUGGUUAAGUGGGAAACGAUGUGGGAAGGCCCAGACAGCCAGGAUGUUGGCUUAGAAGCAGCCAUCAUUUAAAGAAAGCGUAAUAGCUCACUGGUCGAGUCGGCCUGCGCGGAAGAUGUAACGGGGCUAAACCAUGCACCGAAGCUGCGGCAGCGACGCUGAUGCGUUGUUGGGUAGGGGAGCGUUCUGUAAGCCUGCGAAGGUGUGCUGUGAGGCAUGCUGGAGGUAUCAGAAGUGCGAAUGCUGACAUAAGUAACGAUAAAGCGGGUGAAAAGCCCGCUCGCCGGAAGACCAAGGGUUCCUGUCCAACGUUAAUCGGGGCAGGGUGAGUCGACCCCUAAGGCGAGGCCGAAAGGCGUAGUCGAUGGGAAACAGGUUAAUAUUCCUGUACUUGGUGUUACUGCGAAGGGGGGACGGAGAAGGCUAUGUUGGCCGGGCGACGGUUGUCCCGGUUUAAGCGUGUAGGCUGGUUUUCCAGGCAAAUCCGGAAAAUCAAGGCUGAGGCGUGAUGACGAGGCACUACGGUGCUGAAGCAACAAAUGCCCUGCUUCCAGGAAAAGCCUCUAAGCAUCAGGUAACAUCAAAUCGUACCCCAAACCGACACAGGUGGUCAGGUAGAGAAUACCAAGGCGCUUGAGAGAACUCGGGUGAAGGAACUAGGCAAAAUGGUGCCGUAACUUCGGGAGAAGGCACGCUGAUAUGUAGGUGAAGUCCCUCGCGGAUGGAGCUGAAAUCAGUCGAAGAUACCAGCUGGCUGCAACUGUUUAUUAAAAACACAGCACUGUGCAAACACGAAAGUGGACGUAUACGGUGUGACGCCUGCCCGGUGCCGGAAGGUUAAUUGAUGGGGUCAGCGCAAGCGAAGCUCUUGAUCGAAGCCCCGGUAAACGGCGGCCGUAACUAUAACGGUCCUAAGGUAGCGAAAUUCCUUGUCGGGUAAGUUCCGACCUGCACGAAUGGCGUAAUGAUGGCCAGGCUGUCUCCACCCGAGACUCAGUGAAAUUGAACUCGCUGUGAAGAUGCAGUGUACCCGCGGCAAGACGGAAAGACCCCGUGAACCUUUACUAUAGCUUGACACUGAACAUUGAGCCUUGAUGUGUAGGAUAGGUGGGAGGCUUUGAAGUGUGG